CCGCCAGCCUUGACCUCCCAAAGUACUGGGAUUACAGGCGUGAGCCACCGCGCCCUGCCUAUAUUUUUAUAUUUACUUUUUUUUUUACUUUUAGGUUUGGUGGUCCAUAUGAAGGUUUGUUACAUAGGUAAACACAUGUCACGGGGGUUUGUUGUACAGAUUAUUUCAUCACCCAGGUAUUAGGCCCAGUACCCAAUAGUUAUCUUUUCUGUUCCUCUCCCUCCUCCCACCCUCCACCCUCAAGUAGACUCCAGUGUCUGUUGUUUCCUUCUUACACAAAUAUCUUUGAAAAUGUAGUAGAGAAUGGAAGUUGUCACAGGAUGGUCAAAAACAUGAGACCCCUGGAGAAUUGUCUCCCAACAAAGUAAGAGUGUGGGUUAAGAUGAGUAAAGGAAUACUGACAGAUGAAUGUCUGAUUUAAGUCAAAAGUAGAAGAGAAAGCCAAUGUCCAAAACAUUAGAACUAAAGGUCAAAAGAACUAGAGGAUAAAGAUAAUAUUAGGGUCACAGAGCUAAGAAAUUUGGCUUUUGCAGACUCAGAGAAAGCCAGGUGCAGCAAUGGAGUUAUCCUAAAACCCUGAUUGUUAUUUGUUGCUGGUGUGGGUCAGGCUGGCUUAUAACAUCAAGAACAGCAUGUACAUUUUUUGCCUCCAUCUGUGUGGUGGAACUUGAAAAAUUACAUACAUUUAUUUGUGAAGAAGGUGUGGGAGCAUGUAGAGAUCAGGCAGAGCUCAGUUUAGGAUUCAACCAAGAGUUCAACUUUACUCCAUUGCCUCGUUAUUAAGGACUUAACCUCUGACAUUGCCUUAGUGAGAGAGCAUUUAUCUAUGAUGCUGCCUUCAAGGAGCGAGCUCUUCUUUGGUGUUAAUUACUAGCAUAGCAGCAGGGCCUUUCAUAGACUUCUAAGAGGGACGAACACUGUGGUCAUCAGGCUUUAAAAUAUUUUCCCCAUCAAGACUUACUAUGUAUGAUAUAGAUAACUUCUCUGCCUAUGCUCACAGGUACUUCCUUGGAGAACAGAAGCCAAAUUCUGUCAUUGUUUGUCUCAGCCCUCCCCACAGGGCAGUGAUGAGAGUACAAAUGUGGGACCUGACCCAAGAGUGACACCCUAGAACCUUAAUGAGAGAAGAUAGGGAAUCCACAGUGAAGAUGCAUUAUUUCAGAGGAGACUGGAUCAAUAUUCCUUCUUCAACCUGUCACACAGAGAAGAGAGGCGCCUCUGUUUUCCCAUCAGGGAUGAGUACAGGAAACGGCAGCAUAUUUUCCACUUAAAAACUGGCUAGGGAAUAUACAACCACUUCCAGCCAUUCUGUAUGCAGGUGAAUCUUGGUUUCCCUGUGGGCAAUGAUGUAUGGAACUUACGAACAAUAUGGGCAGAUCAACAAACAGCACAUAAAGGGGACGAGACACACACACACAGAGACAGAGAGAGAGAGAGAGUGCAAAGCAAGGCAAGGCAAGAGGAGUAAGAAGGUCAUUAUGCAAUCUUUCUCGGACUCAGCUCUCUAAUUCUUAAGAUCAGCAGUCUCAAAGUACCAUCUGUGUACUCCUGGGAGCUCCUAAGACACUUUCAAGAGCCACAGCAAAAGAGAUGAAAUUCUGCCUGAACUAUUAUCCUCCAUUUACAGUUAAGUAAACUGAGGCCCUGGAAAAUGAGGCACUUUAGUUUUAAAAGCUGCUAAAGUCUAUUGCUACAUCAUGCAGACAAUGAACAAUGAGUGUUGGAGAAUGUCCUUUCCUGCCUCUUAAUCAUUCUGAAUCGAAACUAAUGAUAAACUUCAAUCAAUGACAUUGAGGGGAUGGGUAAGGGAUAAUAUAAAGAGUCCUCUAUGCAUGCUAAUUUGUUGUUACAUGUGACCUAAGAUGGUGGUUUCUUGCUUUAAAGACCUUACUAAUCAUUACAGAGUAUUCUUAUUCUCUGCUCAAUAAUUUGGAAAUGACUUAGGUCCUGUAACUCUCUGUGUCUCUAAUUUCUGAUCUCUGUAUUCAUCCAUGCUGUCUUUAGUACAAGUAUUUAUUUAUGUAGACUUCCCUUGUUCUGUUCUUUAUGUUACAUGGAGGAAAUUCUGAGAAACUUCAUCAGUAGCACUAUGAAACUCCUUCCAUACAGAACAGUCUAGAACAGGCAUUGUCAAACUGGGCUAAAUCUGUUCUGCCAUCUGCUUUUCUAAAGAAAAUGUUGUUGGAACACAACCACGUUCAUUCAUUUCUGUAUUGUCUGUGGCAGAGAUUGACCAUCACGAUAGAGACCAUAUGAGUUGAAAAGCCUAAAACAUUUAUUACCUGGCUCUGAACAGAAAAUACUUGCUGACUUCUGGUCUGGAACAGCACUGUGUAUAUACCUCAGGUUUAAUACUGGAAGUCUCCAUUAGUCCUUCUUCAGAGGUGACUAGAGUGCACAGUCAUAAUGACAGGGCCCCAAGGACUUCUCUAACUCACACUCCCUGUCCAGUCACCUUCACUGCAACAACCAUCUUACCAAGGGGUGCUGUCACUGCUCCUGUCCACUUUCUGGCCGUCAGAUGCCUCGAGAGUUCUUCUUGCCCUUGAUAAGGAAUAAACUUGUCAGUUGCAUGUGGCAGUUUUUCAACUGAUUUGGGAGAUGAUGCAGAUUUUGCUAUUUCUUAACUUUCAAUUGUUGUGUUUUCUGGUUCUCAGUAGGGAGACAUGAAGAAAAUUGCUGAUUCCCUUCAGUUAAAUAACAGUUUAGAUUAAACCAGCAAGAACUUUUGCUCUUUAAUAAAAUGCAAAGUUACCAUGCCUUUCUCCGGCUCGAUCAUUCAUGCAUCAUAAUGUGAAUGGAGUUGUAGGAGUAUGAUGUUUAUUCUCACAAUAGGUUUAAUUCUGAGUAAAAGCACUAAUUGAAAAAUCAGAAGAAUUUUGUCUUUAAGAGCUCAUGUUAAUGCAUGCAUUCAUCCAUCUGAAUUUUGAUGAUCUCGGUUUUUUUCUGUGUAAAUUCUUAUCAGAAUGGAGUGACUCUAAAUUGCGCCCUGCUUGUAACUUUCAUGUAUGAUUUGCUCCCUUGUUGUUUACCAGCCCUUUUAAAACUACAUAGUAGAAAGAAAAUAUUUUAAACAAUGUCACAUCCAGACGGUGAUUUCUCAAAGCUUCAAAUGCAGGCUUUAAUCCUUCUCCCAGGUUAGCCAGACUCAGGCUGCUGCACAGCACUGGGGCUUUUCAGACACAUUAAGGAUUCUGGACAGGCUUCACCCCAGACACCCUUGUGCUC
RNAcentral lists this long non-coding RNA (3228 nucleotides) under Homo sapiens (human). RNAcentral describes it as "HSALNT0077363". The record is from RNAcentral. Lineage: Eukaryota; Metazoa; Chordata; Mammalia; Primates; Hominidae.